AAGGGUAAAGAAAAUGCCGCUGAUGCUCCUAUCUCAAAGGAGAACGGUGACAAAAAUGCCGCUGAUGCUGCUAACGCAAAGAAGGGUAACGAAAAUGUCGCUGAUGCUGGUAGCACAAAGGAGGGGAGUAAAGAAAAUGCUGAUGAUGCUGCUAACUCAGAGGAGGAGUAAAGAAAAUGCUGAUGAUGCUGCUAACGCAGAGAAGAGUAAAUCUGAUGGUGCUGCCAGCGGUGCAACUGGCUCGUAACCAGCUUAUACCUUUUGUAAACCGUUGCGGACAUUGCUGUAGCUGCGAACCUACAUUAGGAUACGUACUCUUGC
RNAcentral lists this long non-coding RNA (321 nucleotides) under Oryza sativa (Asian cultivated rice). RNAcentral's name for it is "long non-coding RNA (OSAT_LNC000995)". The record is from RNAcentral. Lineage: Eukaryota; Viridiplantae; Streptophyta; Magnoliopsida; Poales; Poaceae.